Molecule: ribosomal RNA, 253 nt
Filed under: uncultured bacterium
Lineage: Bacteria
Description: partial 16S ribosomal RNA
Rfam family: Bacterial small subunit ribosomal RNA
Source: RNAcentral
UACGUAGGUGGCAAGCGUUGUCCGGAAUUAUUGGGCGUAAAGCGCGCGCAGGCGGUCCUUUAAGUCUGAUGUGAAAGCCCACGGCUCAACCGUGGAGGGUCAUUGGAAACUGGCGAGCUAGAGUACGAAAGAGGAUCGCGGAAUUCCCGGUGUAGAGGUGAAAUUCGUAGAUAUCGGGAGGAACACCGGUGGCGAAGGCGGCGAUCUGGGUCGAUACUGACGCUGAGGCGCGAAAGCGUGGGGAGCAAACGGG